Molecule: ribosomal RNA, 494 nt
Filed under: uncultured bacterium
Lineage: Bacteria
Description: SSU rRNA
Rfam family: Bacterial small subunit ribosomal RNA
Source: RNAcentral
AGAACGAACGCUGGCGGCGUGGAUAAGACAUGCAAGUCGAACGGGACAUUGGUAGCAAUACCGGUGUUCAGUGGCGUAAGGGUGCGUAACACGUGGGUAACCUGCCGAGAAGUGGGGGAUAGCUCGCCGAAAGGCGAAUUAAUACCGCAUAGUACAUUUGUUAAAGCCGGGGCAACCUGGCGCUUCUUGAGGGGCCCGCGGCCUAUCAGCUAGUUGGUGAGGUAUCGGCUUACCAAGGCUAUGACGGGUAGCUGGUCUGAGAGGACGACCAGCCACACUGGAACUGAGACACGGUCCAGACACCUACGGGUGGCAGCAGUCGAGAAUUUUUUCUCAAUGGGGGAAACCCUGAAGGAGCGACGCCGCGUGGAGGAUGAAGGUCUUCGGAUUGUAAACUCCUGUCAUUGAAGAACAAAAUACGUAAGUUAACUGCUUAUGUGUCGAUAGUAUUCGAAGAGGAAGGGACGGCUAACUCUGUCGCCAGCAGCCGCGGU